AUGGGACUUAGGUGGAAGGAGGCCUGUGAAAAAAGAUGGAAAAAUGAGAAGCCCCAAAUUUUCAACCCUUUCAAAUUUAUGAAAAUGACAAAGGAAUCAAAGAGUUUCACUUCUUUGCCCAGGCUAGAGUGAAGUGGUACAGUUUUGGCUCACUACAACCUCCGCCCCUGGGUUCAAGCCAUUCUCCUGCCUCAGCCUCCUGAAUAUGGGAUUACAGGUACCCGCCACCACACCCGACUAAUUUUUGUAUUUUUAGUGGAGACAAGGUUUUACCAUGUUGGCCAGGUGGGCCUUGAACUCUGGACCUCAAGUGAUCAUCCCACCUUGGCCUACCAAAGUGCUGGGAUUACAGGUGUGAGCCACUGUGCCUGGCCCAGUGUUUCUCUUACUUAAUGAAACUACAGAGUACUGCUUGUUUUUUAAAUAAAUGUUUACAAAGGUGCACCACAGCCUAUCCCAAUCCUCACAACUGAAACCCAGAAAUAAAAUAUGUAGCAUUUGUCACUUUGUGUGCAUGCAAUUAAACAGAAUUUCAUUUCUGAUGUUACUAUAAUAGCAUUGCUAAUAAGUUCAGCUGUACAUCAGCUUUUAGAUAUUACUAACUUGAGUGCUUUUUUUUCCCCCAUAAGACAAUUAUAUUCAAAUAGCUGAAUGCCUAUUCAAAAGGAAAGUCUCAACAAUUACUUUGAUCUGUUAUACUACAGAGAUGUCCUAUGUUGUAUAUGGAUAUUUACCACUGGGCUUUUUGUUUUUUCUUGUGUCCCAUUAUAAUAGACUUUGUCUCCCCUGUUCCUAUCAGAAUGUCAGCUUUCGCAUCUGACUGAUAUCAGUGUUCCUGACCAUAGCGUUCCAUCUCUUCUCCUCCAAUCAGAUGUGGGCUUGCAAACCACAUAACCAUGUGUUAAAAGUGCAUGUGAUAUAAAAUCAUAUUGAUUUUGAGUGAGGAGCUCUUCUCUGAGUGAUACGUUUCUGUUCAUGGGCAUCAACGUUGGGACAUUCAUGAUUUUCGCUAUUCUCAAUCAUUUCCCCUUCUUUUCAGUUGUGUUCUAAAGAAAAGCUUUCUGAAUAACUGAAUUUCACAUAGAUGAGGACCUUUAUGUUCUGAACACAGAAUAUAAAAUCUCACGUCUAUUUCCUAUUUUGCAGGCCUGUAAACAUUAGUGGGGAUGUAAGCAGUAGGGUAUACCCAUGAUGGUCAUAGCUGUAGGCAAGGUGACCAGAAACCAUAUGAUUCACAGAGUGAAGGUAGGUUACAAGGGAGACCUUAGAGGCCAAAAAGUUGAAGUUCAGUUCCAAAGAAGUCUGUGUAAGCCUUAAACUCAAGGGGUGGGUACAUAAAACCUGAAAACCAAAUGGGCAAGAGACUGGUGAAUUAUUUUUCAUUUUUUUUUUCUUUGGUUGUGAUAAUGUUGUGUAACCAAUAACCAAUCACCCCAACACUCAGUGGUUACAUCAUCAUAUAUCUGUUGGGUCAGUUGUGGUUCUGCUUGGCUUGGCUGAGAUUAGCUGGGCUUGUCUAGACUGGCUCUAGGGGUUGGAGCCACAUGGACCAGGCAGAAGGAAUAGCCAUUAGCUAGGACAUGUGGCUGUGUUGACAGAAGACAGGAGGACAAUAGUGGAAGCAGCAAGUGAUGCCUCUGCUCAGAGUUUGCAUCUGCCAUUUCCUCUACAUAGCCCAGUCUGUAGUUAGUGGGAUGGGGAAGUAUUGGUGAACAAGGGCAGGGAGGAAAAACUGUGAACAAAUAGUAUAUUCUACCCCAAUAGUUGAUAAGGGAAUACAUUUGUUGGAAAAAGCAAAGAAGGUGGAAGGUUAACAUUUCAGGAUACCAAAGUGCAAAUAAGAGGGCACCAGACAGUUCUGGCUGACAGAGGCCUUAAAAGGGCCCAGUAAAAGCUGGGCUCUUGUCACAUGAAUGGUCUGAGAAUGACAGAGCUGAAAUGCACACCAGGCUCUAAUGAGAGGGGCUGUGUACCCGAGAGUGAUGGGCAGCCAAGCGCAGCAUCUGCACUCUUUGGAAGGCUUACCUUGUAAUGAUUUUUUAUUUUAGAUUCGGGGGUACACGUGCUUGUUUGUUACAUAGGUAUUACAUGCACAGUGGUAGAAACUG
Molecule: long non-coding RNA, 2108 nt
Filed under: Callithrix jacchus (white-tufted-ear marmoset)
Lineage: Eukaryota; Metazoa; Chordata; Mammalia; Primates; Cebidae
Description: lncRNA (ENSCJAG00000069786.1)
Source: RNAcentral